GGGUUGUGAGGUUAAGCGACUAAGCGUACACGGUGGAUGCCCUGGCAGUCAGAGGCGAUGAAGGACGUGCUAAUCUGCGAUAAGCGCCGGUAAGGUGAUAUGAACCGUUAUAACCGGCGAUUUCCGAAUGGGGAAACCCAGUGUGACUCGUCACACUAUCAUUAACUGAAUCCAUAGGUUAAUGAGGCGAACCGGGGGAACUGAAACAUCUAAGUACCCCGAGGAAAAGAAAUCAACCGAGAUUCCCCCAGUAGCGGCGAGCGAACGGGGAGGAGCCCAGAGCCUGAAUCAGCAUGUGUGUUAGUGGAAGCGUCUGGAAAGGCGCGCGAUACAGGGUGACAGCCCCGUACACAAAAGCGCAUGUGCUGUGAGCUCGAUGAGUAGGGCGGGACACGUGGUAUCCUGUCUGAAUAUGGGGGGACCAUCCUCCAAGGCUAAAUACUCCUGACUGACCGAUAGUGAACCAGUACCGUGAGGGAAAGGCGAAAAGAACCCCGGCGAGGGGAGUGAAAAAGAACCUGAAACCGUGUACGUACAAGCAGUGGGAGCCCCACCACUAAGCCAGUGGUGAACUCCACAUA
This 581-nucleotide ribosomal RNA is filed under the name Salmonella enterica subsp. enterica serovar Bredeney. RNAcentral describes it as "partial 23S ribosomal RNA". It matches the Rfam family "Bacterial large subunit ribosomal RNA", at positions 1 to 586 of the family's 2925-position model. The record is from RNAcentral. Lineage: Bacteria; Pseudomonadati; Pseudomonadota; Gammaproteobacteria; Enterobacterales; Enterobacteriaceae.